RNAcentral lists this ribosomal RNA (254 nucleotides) under uncultured bacterium. RNAcentral describes it as "partial 16S ribosomal RNA". It matches the Rfam family "Bacterial small subunit ribosomal RNA", at positions 524 to 776 of the family's 1533-position model. The record is from RNAcentral.
UACGUAGGGUGCGAGCGUUGUCCGGAAUUAUUGGGCGUAAAGAGCUUGUAGGCGGUUUGUCGCGUCUGCCGUGAAAAUCCGGGGCUCAACCCCGGACUUGCGGUGGGUACGGGCAGACUAGAGUGUGGUAGGGGAGACUGGAAUUCCUGGUGUAGCGGUGAAAUGCGCAGAUAGUCAGGAGGAACACCGAUGGCGAAGGCAGGUCUCUGGGCCAUUACUGACACUGAGAAGCGAAAGCAUGGGGAGCGAACAGG